RNAcentral lists this ribosomal RNA (443 nucleotides) under Berthelinia caribbea. RNAcentral's name for it is "partial 16S ribosomal RNA". It matches the Rfam family "Bacterial large subunit ribosomal RNA", at positions 1829 to 2595 of the family's 2925-position model. Lineage: Eukaryota; Metazoa; Mollusca; Gastropoda; Juliidae. The record is from RNAcentral.
AGCCUAAAGAUGGAUAAUUUUAGGCGAAACCUGCCCGGUGCCACGAUUAAUGGUAAACGGCCGCAGUACCCUGACUGUGCUAAGGUAGCGUAAUCAGUUGGCUUUUAAAUGGAGUCGUGUAUGAAGGGGAUAAUAGGGCUAAGCUGUCUCUCUUCGGUUUAGUUGAAUUUAACUAUAAGGUGAUAAUGCCUUAACACAGAUAAAGGACGAUAAGACCCUUGGAGUUUUUAUUAAUAGGCCUAUUUAGGCCUUGUGUUUUUGCUGGGGCGGCAAAGAGGUAAAUAAGUUAACCCUCUCUUCAAACAGGCCGAGUGUAUUAUGAAAGAUUAAACUACCCGAGGGAUAACAGCAUUAUUCUUUAUAGAGUUUGUGACCUCGAUGUUGGACUAGGGAUUUUCUAGGCUAGCCGCUUAGUUUUAUUGUUCUGUUCGAACUAUUUUCCC